This 645-nucleotide ribosomal RNA is filed under the name Candidatus Berkelbacteria bacterium. Its description in RNAcentral is "bacterial SSU rRNA". It matches the Rfam family "Bacterial small subunit ribosomal RNA", at positions 1 to 535 of the family's 1533-position model. The record is from RNAcentral. Lineage: Bacteria; Candidatus Berkelbacteria.
UUUAUGAGAGUUUGAUCCUGGCUCAGGAUUAACGCUGGCGGCGUGCCUAAUACAUGCAAGUCGACUGUGAACAGCGCAAGCUGUCGAACAGGGCGAACGGGUGAGUAACGCGUAGGAACGUCCUCCGAAGUCUGGGAUAACCCGCCGAAAGGCGGAGUAACACCGGAUAGCCUUAAAGCAGAAAUGGGGAUAGCGGUCGUGGAUUAGAUACCCAUGAUUGUAGAGUUCGUUUAGUGUUGCGCGUACAACUUGCGCAUACAAACUGACGAGAUACUCGGUAUCCCCUUCAAAACUUUGACAAGCACCAUGCUUGUCUCCCCAUUUCUGCUUUAAGUAAAGUUUACGCUUCGGAAGCGGCCUGCGUCCUAUCAGCUAGUUGGUGAGGUAAUGGCUUACCAAGGCGAUGACGGGUAACUGGUCUGAGAGGAUGAUCAGUCACAGUGGGACUGCGACACGGCCCACACUCCUACGGGAGGCAGCAGUAGGGAAUCGUCGGCAAUGGACGAAAGUCUGACCGCGCGACGCCGCGUGAAGGAAGAAGGUCUUCGGAUUGUAAACUUCUUUUAUGAGGGAAGAUUAUGACGGUACCUCAUGAAUAAGGGCCUGCUAACUACGUGCCAGCAGCAGCGGUAAUACGUAGGGCCC